Long non-coding RNA from Wyeomyia smithii (pitcher-plant mosquito), 1146 nucleotides. RefSeq lists it as uncharacterized. The record is from RefSeq and is a predicted model, not a curated record. Lineage: Eukaryota; Metazoa; Arthropoda; Insecta; Diptera; Culicidae. The transcript is spliced from 2 exons.
AUCGCGGUGGCUCGCUACUUUCAGUCGUCGUUGAGUUUCUUUCUGUUAUUCAUUUAAAAAAACUACCAAAACAAAGUGUUAUUCAUAGGGAUAGCUAGAAGUGUAUUGAACUGUAAAAUGUUGAUCAGUAUAUCUAUUAGUAGCUCCCUGUUAAAUUUUGCAAGCAAACCCUAUAGAACGGGCGAAAACCAGAGCCGAAGAGAACGAACACGCACCCAGGUUUGGACGUGUUUGUUCUUGUUUUGGAUUGCGUGUACUUGUUCGGUUUUGUCUGACCAGACCAGCAUCAGUCUGAUCGUGAACGUUAAACGGAUGUGGUGCAGGUGUCAAUUGUAUUCAACAUAUUUUUCAAAAUGGCGCAAGAAAGUUGAGUUUCCAGAUCCCGAGAGUAAUCCAAACGAUGGGGCGUUUAACUAUUGAAAAAGGAUAACAAUCCAAACCUUCCGUCAUUUUUCGACACAUUGGACGACUUCUCUUAGACAUUCGGCAACGGAAAACCAGGAAUCUAGCAAAUCGUUGGUGACAGGUCCAGCGCUUCGCAAUCGACGAUCGACGUAGACGGCAAAGGAAGUAGCACAAAAAAAAUCCGGACAAGCAAAACAGGAACAGCAAAACGAUGGCGCUCCCGAAGUGCAUUAUCGAGCUUAUGAGACAGUCAGGCUGUCAAACGGUGUCACAGUUAAUAUCAGCUAUUAGCGCACUGUUUUUGCUGAUUGUGCUGGCCUUGGGCGAGCAACUGCUCGACUUUAUCCUUCAGCGAGGAGGCGUCAAAUGUCACGGAGAACACAAUUUCAAGAAGCUGAUACAGUAAAAUUAUCACAGAGGAAAUAAUAAUGUUUAGUAUCGAAACGCGCUCCCUCAAUGCGCGCGUAAUCUCUUGAAUGUAUUGCAAUAAUUCAGGAUAAAAGGCGUUUUUGGCUUCCCCGAAUUGAUUUGGUUUUUAGAUUGCCGCUUGGGCGACAAUGGAAUCUAGUUGUGAAAAUUGGAACGAAAGCAUGUUUACUGACAGAGGCGUUUCUUCGAAUCGAGUGCUAGGCAGUGGCGAAAUGAUGUAUUGCGAUAAGUAAAAAUAAUGGACAAACGCUAUGGGGAGGUUGCAGUGCGUUAAUUGGAAAUAAAGCAAUUUAGGAGAAUACAUAGCAUGUA